Molecule: long non-coding RNA, 21497 nt
Filed under: Musa acuminata (dwarf banana)
Lineage: Eukaryota; Viridiplantae; Streptophyta; Magnoliopsida; Zingiberales; Musaceae
Description: long non-coding RNA (MACU_LNC007700)
Source: RNAcentral
AAGAAGCGCGCUCCUGUUAGUGUAACGUAGGUUUCUUUCUCGGUUGAUGGAUGGUAUAAAUGCCUAUAUCGCUUUGUAAUGUUAUUGUCAUGUUGAUGCUAUUGCUAUAUUAAAGAAUAUGAAAAGUGGCUCUUAGUCCCAUUCUUGAUGAUUGUCUUUCUCGUACUGUGUAAACGAACUUCAAGUAGGAAUUGUGUACUCAACAGGAAGCGUCGCAGCCUAGGUUUGGUUGGGGCCACCUCCGAUGUCGAUCUGCAGUAAUUGUUUUCUUCUAAAGUGGUUUUCCGAGGUAGGUUCUACCUAGAGCGAUUUGCCAGCAUCUUUCUAGGAUAUAGUUUACCUGUAUAAUGCAAAUGUCUCUUUCUAGGAUAUAGUGUUUACCUGUAUAAUGCAAAUGUCCAACACUUAGGUGCUUUAUAAGAUCAUCCUAUAUGAAAGAUGUAUUAUAUGUGUGGAUAAUGAAUGACUUGCCUGGUAUGCAAUCUGAACGUCCACAGAGUCAAAAAGGUCAGACCUAAUAAUCGAAAUGAGCUUAGCACAAUACGAUAUGGGAUAGAAACCUAAUCCUAGAAAACCCAUCACUGAACAAUCAUAGGAAUAGAAGAAAUAGGUUAAGACCAAGUGAAAGAACUCUCUAUGAGUUGGGCUACAUAAAAGAUCCUAUUCGCAAAUGGAUGUAGCUUAACCAAAUUGACCCAUAUCAACAACAAACGCUGGCAUACCCUUAUACUUCAGAGGUUGUUCCAGAAUCAAAACCUACAGGGCCUUCUCUGGGAUGAACUCGAAAAACCAGAAAGAAACAAAAGGGAGGAGUGGGAGCGCAAUCUCAUGACCUCGAGACAGUUUCGCGCCACAGAGCGGACCCUUUCAGAGUUCUCACACAGGGAAUGAUCAAAGAGAGACCACCUCGUGAGGACUAGAAAGAAUCCGGUGCACGAGCCAGAGGACGUGAGCCGCAGAUAUACUAACUUCUAGUGGAACGGGUUUGGUGGGGGAUCCUAAAUUCCUUGCUCGUAAACAGGCCUCCAUUGCAAAUGAGAACGAACUCUCGGGGUUCUGGAUGGAAUUUCCAAAUCCGAUCAAACGACUAUUUAUACCCGACGGAGGGUUCAUGUAGGUAGGUGUAGGCCAGACCGCUUGGUUCGAGGACCCGUUGGUCAAAGGGGAUUCCGGGAAGGAGCCGUAUGACGCGAUAGUUUCUACUCUUUAACUCUGGGCUGGGAGCGAGACCCUAAAAGAAGUUCAAUAAGCUAUGAGAAAAUAAGUUCAAUAAGCUAUUAAUAGUUUGAAAGGAAAGAUGGAAAGAGGGGAAUAGCUAGUUUGAAAGGAAAGAUGGAAAGAGGGGAAUAGCACGUAAUCAAAGGGAUAAUCGGAUAUAUGCUUCGUAAUCAAAGGGAUAAUCGGAUAUAUGCUUCGUAAUCAAAGGGAUAAUCGGAUAUAUGCUUCCCGAAGUUUCGCGCAUUUCUUAUGGUGGUAAAGUGAGACCACAUAAGAUAAGGAGCUCUUCCUCAUUCAGUCAGAUAUGGUGGGUUUUACCCUUUCUCUUUUUGUUUGAAUCUUCAUAUAGAAUUAAGGAACAACCCUUCCUUCCUCCCUGAAUUCAUUGAGUUGGAGGAAAGGAAUACACUUGAGGCCCGCCCGUUAUGCAUUGCAUGAAAGAACUGUAACUCACAUCGGUGAGGGCUGACUGCCCAGAUCCUGGUAGUACUGCUUUAGCAAAGCGAACGGUAGGUCGGACCAUUCUUCUGGAGCAAACCUUGCCUUUACAUAGCGGUGCCCUUUCGUUGUAGGCAAGACCCGACUUGCCCAUCAUCCAAUCCAUAACAAAUAGGGUGAAAGCCUUACUACUCAACACUCGAUUGAAAACCACCAUUACCACUAGAUUGAAAACCACCAUUACGUCGAAUCGGAAAAGGUUUGGAAUAGGGCUGAAGGUCAGUUCGGUGGUAAGAUCAGAAGGGUAGAUUCACGGGUGACUUCGGAGGGUGGGGAAGGAAAAGCUGGUGCUAAGCCGCCCUCACGUAAUGCCGCGCACAAGGAAGGGUUACAAGUUGGAUAUUAAUUCCUCCCCUUUCGACGAAGGGUUUUGAUAUGGUCUAUCGCCAAAAGCGGAAGUCCAAUCAGAAGCCGCAAGCAAAUGCCGUUCGUAGCUCGAGCCAGUUUCGUUUUCCAACAAAGUUCCAGUUCGCCAAGGAGUGUGAAGGCACAAAAAGCCGAAUCAUAAAGUCAGCAGCACCACCUACUACCGUCGAGUCGACCAAAAAGCCUUAGGCGCCAGGACUUUUCUUUCUCAAAUAAAUACGAGCAACUAUUUUAGUAAACCAGGGUCUAGGAUUUUCUCUGGAAAAGGUAAGAGGUCAACUUAGAGCAAAGCAAGCGAGCUUGCGAAGCAACCGAGGCAAGAGCGUGAAGCAGCUUUUCCCGGUUCUCUUGAAACAAAAGAUCUUUAUUCCUCAGCAUCAGGCGAUGUUUCAGUAGAAUCUGCAUCCAAACCAGAAUGGGACUACUCAGAAAGAAGGAAAAUGCACUUUUCCAUAAGAACCCGACAAGUCGAAUACAUAUCAUAAGAAUCGAGUCCUACGCCUCUUUGCCCUACUAUGAACUAGGAUCAGAAAAGGUUGGCUCAUAAUCGAAACUAAAAGACACCUGAAAAGCACACUUAGCGCGGUUCAUCAGGCAGAGGCUCCUUACUUUAUCGCCCACUACCCAGCUUAAACAUAUCCUAAUUAGGUUAGGAACUGAUUGAUCUUAACGAAAAAAGUGUGGCGUUAAAUGCUUUUUGAACCUCCAUGGAGUCAGUUUGUCGCUUCUUUCAGGAAUACACUGAAAAGUGAGCUCGUGUUGAGGUUAACUAUAUCAAUGUUGGGGGGUCAUUAUUCAGUAUGAGCGUAUAUUUCUUUAAGCAGUAUGAGCGUAUAUUUCUUGAAGCUUCUGGGGAAUAGGUUGCUUUCAGCAACAGGAAGUUAUGAAGUGUGUUCAGACUCACUUUACACAAAAAAGGGAACCCUAGUUCGAAAUAUGAAACAAGUUGGUUUGCAACAGGAGAGUCGGCGAAGAGAUCAACAGUCUUCCUUCAGUAGAAAGCCCCUAUCCAAGGUCAGGUGUAGUGUCUUCGCCCACCUUUACAUGUGCGAUUCUUCGCUCGCAGCGUUACGAACUAUCAAAAAGCUAUAAAUCGAACUCACUCUAGGAAUUCCCAAGCGUUAGCGAAGAAAGAAGCCUACUUUAAGAAGGCUGCCAAGAGGAGUCGAGCAAGUGGUUAAGUAUAUGGUAUACCUUGCCAUCGUCAGUGAUGGAGACACAUUGUAGACUCAUGACGGUUGGUUAACUGGAAGAUUCUUUACAUCCGUCUGAAAACUGUUAUUGGAUCAGGUGGGUCCUGCACUUCUCCACAAGUCUUCAUAGCAGCCUAAGGAAAUCUAAGCAAAGGAUCAAUGCUUGAGGCUGAGGCACGUUUAUUAGGAAGGAGGGAUAAAGAUUUGGAUGCCUCAGUGGAUUCAGAUCAUGGAUGACGCAUAUUCUCGUAUGCCUAUUUUGUGGAUUACGAUGCAGAGAAGAGAGAUCGAUCGCACUUCUGAGAAUUCGAAGAUUCUUUAUCAGUAAUUGGUUAACAAAUCAUUUCCUUUCGCUGCUGUUCGUUGGUUCAUAGGUCCCAGGGAAGAGAAAUUGAUGAAUUGGAGUAAGCUGGAUGGCAUUCACCUACCGUGGAGUAUGAGGGACUAGAAGAGAGAGACCUAGGUUUGGGAGACGAAGAGAGGGAGUGCUUUUCACUUCCAAAAGAUUGAUUGGCUCGGCCAGAGAAGAUGGAUAUUGGAUCACUCGUUCCCUCCCUUUGAUGGCAGCUAUCGGCUUAGUAGGUGUAGCCGGGAUUGCUUUUGACAUUGCCAGCAGCAGUUGGAUCGAAGGGGGAGAGGCCUUUCUUUUAAGAAGCACGAGUGCGCAAUAUCGGCUAUUUGGCUCAGUCAGCUUCAAAGCCGCCCGCAAGGUUCAAUCAACUCAAUGAAUCAGAUGAAAACGGACCUCCUACCCCUGUAGGGAGAAAUACUAGAAAGUCGACGUUCCUCAGGACUUGGCCGUUAUUAAAGUAUCAAGAAGAAGCACGGUAUCAAGGAACACAGUCGAAUAAUCAGAAUAAUCAGAGCACAAGUUCUAAAUAAUACGAAGGAGCCCCUGCUGCUGCAGAAUGACCUGUUCGACUGCCCUGCAAUAAAGCGCUAUUACUAGAGACCGUAGUUGCUUUCCUACCGCCCUGAAUACCUUACUCCGGGCCAAGCAGCCCUUUAGCACUACUUAACUACGUAGCUUGGCGAGCUCUGACUGAGAUUCAACCACUCCGGAUUCUUAUGAGAUUGUUUCUUGAUUGGCAAGAAUCCCCAAGGAAAUAGGCCUCCCUGUCCUGUGGAAGAGUCACAUCUGAGUCCACGCAAUUGAAUUAGUGAGUCAUUAAUGGUUUUGAUUACUUCACUACGCCAAUUUAGGGGUAUGGUUGCAAACUCGAUAGCCGAUAAUACUCCUUUUUCCUGCUGCUCCCCUAUUCACUGUCUUGGGUUGAAGUGUGCAAUAAAGCGUAGGAGCUCAUCUUUCCUUUCAUACGGAAUCCUUUUGGCAACGUAUAUUUGUGCUACCUGUUUUUGGAGGUGGUUAAUAAGCAUCGGUCUCCUUCCUGUAAGAGCUUAUCAAAAUGGCUUUCAAUGCUACUCUCUCUGUCUUUAGUUUUGGUUGGAGCUGUAAACAGGAAAAAGUAUCUGUGCGGUUUCCUCAUUAUACAUUAUCUUUAUGUUUUGAGCGUUCUCCCAAGGAAUACUUUUCUGCUGUAGUCUUCUUAUAAUGCAUCUGUAUAAGGUAGCAACAACCCUUUCUUAAACCAAGUUCUUUAUUUUGUUUACAAACCAGAAUAUACAAAAACCAUCUAGGAAGUUGACUAAAUGCCUAAUACUUUCAGGGGUGGAAUUGGUGAUGGCAAUAACAGGUACAUUUAGAUUCUUGUGAAAACAUCUUCCAUACUGAACCUACAAUCUUUCUGCCCAUCAAGUAUUUGGAGUAUAGAGCUGUGUGAGGCAGCCAUAGCAGCUUUAUUGUUUCCCCAUCCUGGCAUGCUAUCCUCCGGAAAAUGAAAUGAAUCCAAAACCCAAAGAAAUCAUAAUAGUAGUGUGCUCCUUGGAAAUCACGGAAUCUAGCACAUGGUGAAUAGAUGUUGAGAACUGAGCUAAGCAUAUGCUACAUUUAGGUUUUUUUCGUACUGGGUUUUCCAUAGAAUAGUAGUUCCUUAGUAUUCAAUGGCCUAUACAAGAUUAGGUUUCAUGUGAUCCCAUCUAAAAGUCAUUAUUUUUCCUUUCACUCGUCAAAGGAAUAUUCUUGUUAGGGUAUCCUUUUUGGAUUAAGUACUCUUUUGACCUAUCUUUCAAGCUAUUUUGCCUCAUCUUGAUGCUUAUAGUCUCUUCGAAGAUAGCUUUUAGAGCGUUAAAGUGCCUAAUGAGGUGAGCUUGUAAUUAAGGAUCAUCAUAUACUUGUUGCUCCCACUCAUCUAGGUUUUGGAUCUUAUGCAAGACAUCCACUUUCCAUUGGGGGGCUGGCUCUUUUUAUGCUGUGCUUGUGCUUUAGCGGUUUCCUGAAUUUGUUGAAGAGAGUGUUUCCCCAAAACUAUGGGCUGUUGAUCCUCUUUUAGUGUGUACCUGCAUACGGAGGCCCACGCUCUAUAAAAGGAGACAUGAAAUUGUGCCCCAAAAUGAUUAAGUCUCAGGUAAAGCCUUUCUUAGUAUGGAAGGAGUGCUGUUUUUUGUGCUCUUUCUUCCACUAAGAUUCCAACAUGGAAAUUAGGCCCUUGUUCGCCGAGUAGCAACAAUGAUGGUAGUACAUUUCAUUACUUUGAGAAUCCUAAUCCUAAUUGAAUCCUUAUCGAUUUGCUAUCUUUCUCUAGUCUUAUUCGCCCUACUUAAGGUGAGCAGAAGAUAUUUCCGGAGAUUUGUAUUGAUCCUAACACUGGGUUUCGUACUAGAAACUACUAUGAGAGAGAGAAAUGAAGCAUAAGAGGAAAUCAACACACUGUCACACUCGGGAAGAUCCUAUCCCACAGGGGAAAGAAACUACCUAAAAUAACUAGGAGAGGAAAACCGGAGGCAAACAAAACUCUGAACCGAGGGAACAACUACAACAAAAGGAACUAACUCAAAGAACAACUAAGUAUAUGCUGAAAAUGCAUUUAUUGAACGGGGAAGAAAAGUAGAUAAUAAGAAAGAGAAUCAACAGCCUAUAUUCCCGCUUCGCUUACUGCUGACUUUGGAAAAAGUGCUAUUCCCACGCUAAACGCUGACCCCAACACCGAGGAGUGGGUAUUCGCAUUCGGCUUCUGUAUCCGCAUAAGAUGAAACUCUCACUUCGAUUUCUGAACCAAGAUUAUGGUCCUUCCUUUUCACCCAAAAGAGAUUAUUGACGCCAACACCUAGAUACCAAACUUGAUACGGAACUUAUCAUUCGAGAGUCGACUUCCCGCGACAGGUUUGAUUCUGCCUCGACCUUUACUAGAGCUCUACUUUCUGGUAUUGCUGCUUACUUGCAAACUGGCAAUUCUCCAGCAUACUUUCCAACUCCCCUUUCUGACCCAACAAGAAAUUCAUUGAAUCUUUCGUAUCGAGCACUGCGUGGUAUAGAUCUUUGUGAAACCAUACCUUCCCUGCAUUCUUCAACAGAAACUUAUGUACAGAGUCGAGCACCGAGUCAACGUCCUGAACAGAAUCAUAAGUGUGUUUAAGUUGAAAUAGAGGAAUUUGUCAGGUAUUAUAGAAUAGGGUAACUAACCAAGUACAGUACGUGCUCUUCACUUAUUUAAGAAUCGAGUAUGAGGAGUUGAAACAUAAUCAUUAGCCCGAGGGGUCUCAUAGAUUGGAUUGGGGUAUAUCGAAUCAAUCUAUUAGGGGCAGGGACAGAAAGAGACUCGUCUGAAAGAGUAGCAAACAGCGAAAUCCCCUUAAGUAGCUUGGCCUCUCUUCUUUAUGUCUGCUGCAAGCGAUUCCACUUCUUUCCUCUCAAUACCCGAACAAAGCACUCGUUUUCAUCACUCUUAUCGGCACUAUUAACUGCAUGCAGCUCAUCCAACUCUGUAAACAAAUACUUUUAUUGCUCCCGAGCACAUAGCAAGUAGUAGUCCUGUGCAAGUUAGUAAGGGAAGCUUAGUCGAUAUCACCAAGCCGGUAUCACAAAAGCAAAUAGAUUAGUUACAAUCGGGGUUUCAUCCAUUACAGGCUCGAGUGUCGGUGCCCUAGCUAUAAGUCUACUCGAUCAGAUGCAAGCGGGAAGGAAAGAAAGACAGACUUAUGUAAACCACUCCACAAAGUCGAUUUCACUGCCCUACCCGAGCAAGUAAGUAAACAACACUACCCGCUUCGUCACCAACAACAAGAUCUUUUCCAAUAAGGGCUUUCCUAUGAUGCCAACUCUAUUAAUUAUACAGCCUUUGAUGCCCCUAGCCCUCUGAUCUUGUAUGGCUCCGAUACCGUAGUAAACAAUUAUGACUGGUUGUACCUGACCCGACGAGCAACUACUCCUCUUGAGCACCCUGCUACAAUACCACCGAGAAAGAGCCCUGCCCUACUGUGGUUGGUUGGAAGGAAGGAGCUGAAAGCCUUCUAUCUCUUAAUGCGCUCGAUCUUACCCGCGGAAUUCUUCUCUUGCUUCCUAGCCUGUUCCUACUAAGGAUUUGGAAACGACUUCUGAUCUUGUCGACGCUAACUUUCUUCUUUAAGUGAAGUGGAAUCUAUGUUUGUUGAGUCUGAUUGCUACCCGGGAAAACAUCUCUGUAAGUUUAGGGAGUUUGGCGAGGCGAUAGUCGCUACUGUAGGAGUGUUGUGAGGCCAAGCAGAUCGGAUUUGCGAGAGGGAGGAUAGAGAUUCGCCCCUUAUUGAAUCAGUAUUUCUUGCAAUAGUCGAGGCCCCAUCCCGAGUGGAAUCAGUAUUAGUUGACAGAGGAUGGGUUUAUUGAUCUGAAGCUGGAAGGAAAGAAAUCAAUCUGCAAAAAGGGUAUGGUUUCUUUGUUAUUAAGUUAAUGCGCUAGCAAGCCUUUCACUCCUGGCAUUGAUCCUGACCCGACUCACAGUUGACUUAGACAGCUUCCCUAUCUUUUGAAUCUUACUGGCUUGGCACUGCUUCCAUUCCUUGACUUCACAAGUCUAGGCCUCCAUAAUAAGUUUCGGGAAGCAAGGCUUUCAGCACCUUACUUUAACCACGGAAAAGAGGUGGGUACGGAGUGGCUCUUAGCCCAAGGUGUCGAGUUGGGGGUAGGGAGAGUGGAAUGAAGUUACUCGGGUAGGGAAAGAGACUUUACUGACUUUGGAAGCUAUAAGUACUUAAGUCUUGGAUCGUAUCGGGUAAAAGAAUCUUUAUAAAGAAGAAAAACAGUGUGACAAAAAAGAAUAGAGUGGACUGCACUCGAUAAGCAAAGGUCUUCCCCGGCUUCCUCUCUGGCUCUUGAAACUAGAAUGUUGGAUCCUAUCCCUGGGUUACUUUCAUCUUAUAUAGAAGCCGAAGCCUCAUCUGCUCUAAGGAAGGAUCACUAGAGAAAGAAAUCAAUAAAGAAAGAAAUCCAGUGCUCUUCUCUGGUAUUCCACUCCUAUUAUACCUAUUAAUACAAAGAAUAAGGGAUCUACUAAAGAGCUAAGGUCGACCACUACUCGGUUAAGGUAGUCAACCCAACAAGUAACACCGCACAACUACUUCAGAAUGGAAUGGAACCUUGAACGGAAGAAACAUAAGAAGAGGCUAAAGUAAGGUCUAGGCCGGCAAGGGAACCAGAAAGCUCUGUUCUCAAGUCAGCAUCAGCUGCGGGAGAAGAAUCAAGGGAAGCGUAGUUACUUGGCUACUUGUCGGCUUGGCUAAUUCACUUCCAGAAUAUAUAUUUGUUGGCUGCCCCUGUAGGGAAUCCUGUCUUUAUGGCUUACGGGAGUUCUGCUAACUGUAGUAUGUGCUACUUCCUUUCCCUAACCCAGUAUAGUACGAGUUACUUCCUUUAAGUAGUGAGUGACUGAACACUUGCAAAACACCUAUAGUCCAAAGAAAAACAAUGAAGAAAGGUAGGCAAGCGAUAAGGGUACGAUGUAGCGAGAUCCUCUUAUAGGAUAAGAUAAAGAUAAGAAAUAAUAGAAUAGGAGGGAAAUGAUACCAAUAGACAGAAUAGGAAGGAAGGAAGUAGACAGAAUAGGAAGGAAAUGAUACCUAUAGUUGAAAGCCAGUGCUAGGAUCAACAGUAUUAAAGAAGGGUAUAGCUUGGAAGCCUGAGAGUGUCAAGGGGACAAGCAACGUAGUGAGUUGCGCUAAAGGGCUGCUCUUCAGUAACUAAUUCCCUAUAAACCGGACUUGGUCAUAACUCGUAAUAACUACAUAUUUGUUGCUGAUGUAGUAGUAGCUUGUUGGAUUCAAGUAUCGUUCGGGCAAGACUCAGUGGUGUAAGAGAGUUCCGUAAGCCGUGUAGCAUAAGCGGACUUCUUCGGGCAGUCUUCCCAUACGCGCUCAUCAAUAAGAAAUAGAGUAUUAGUUGAGUCAGCAGUAUCAGUAGUAUAGUGAGUUUUGGAAGUGGGAAGUCGACUCGAUCAGAAUUUCAAGAAAGAGAAUAAGCUUUAUCUGAAGCCGAAGAUGGAUUAGAUGCAGCUGCAAGUGAAGAAAUAGGCAGAGGCGUAGGCAUCCUUUCGUUAAUAAACAGGAAUGGAAUAUCUUUCUUGUCUUGAAUAUUAAGUCGUCAACUAGAACAGCUUCUGAAACUAGAACAGCUUCUGAAGAACAGGAACUCGCCGAGCUACAGCAUCGACACUAAAACCGCUAACAGGAAUGGAAAUUGACCUAGAAACGGAGAUUGACUUUAUGCAACAACUUUACCGUUAGCCUUGUAAACCUUGGGGGGACAGUAAUCUUUCUCUGACUCUUAUUACCACUACGUAGGUCUAUACCCUAUAGCAUUUGCAUCUUUUACUUGCGCAAGAGACUUUUGAUACCACACAACUUAUUCUCUUACCGCUGAACCUCUUUCUCCACGACCGACGUAAAAACGGGUUCCCCCUAUUUGUAGAUACAAGUGCUUUCAAAUUCCAUAAAGAUAUUACGAGGCAGUGGGCUCUUUAAUUCCUCUCUUUCUUAUAUGUAUAUGAGACCUGCUUCAUAGAUCCUAGAACUGUAAUUCGUAUGGAAUCUGGAACUCGACUUGAGGAACCGACAACCCUGUAGUAUAAGUUAGCACCGAACCUUGACUUUGCUACAACAAAUAGGAGUGGAACAGAAAGAGUACACGCAACUGGAUCGGAUACAGAUUAACUUCCUGCGCGUACUUUCCUCUGCAACUUACUAUAGGGCUGUUUCUGGUUUCUCUUUUGAGUUUAGCUUAGCUGUUUUGAAAGUGUUAGUGAAUCCAGAGUUUCAUCCCGAGUUUACUGUGGAAGAAAUAGAAUAAUUCGGCAGGUCUGAUAGAGCUUAGUCACACUUAUGUGCCCUUUCACUGAAGUCUUUUAUACUAGACUCUGAUCCUAAGGUAUGAUCUAGACCCGAUCCAGCAGAUGAUCUUGAAACUGAGUCUGGACCUGGCAAUACUGUUCGAAUGCCUACAGGUCUUCUCUCUCUUGCACCGAGGCAAACUGCACUGGAAUCCUUCUUUCGAGCUGCGAGUAAAACAACCAAGCAUAUACUACAGUAGCAAAUGAACUCCGUAGUAUAAGAAGUCAUCAUCUACUAAUAGGAAUUCCACCGGAAAGCAUGAGACUAAGCAUAGGAAGAAGGGUAGUUGGAAUAAUAACUAAGGACAGGAAGAAGGGUGGUAGGAAUAAUAAUAGUAAGUCAGGAUAUUACUAAUAAGAUAAUAAUGGGAAGCCAGGGUAUGAACAAAGAAACUCGAAACAAAGAAUACAGAAACAGCCAAGCAGACAAUCAACUACUUUUCUCUACCUUCAGCCGACUCAGCCUCUGUCCUUAAUGUAAGGGCUGCCUCUCAUUUGUAAACUAAUACUGUUCAUUCGGCUCCCGAGCACAUAGCAAGUAAGAAAUAUAUUCUAACAGGAAUUAAUAGGGAAUGAAUAAGAAAUACUUGAUAACCGCCAGACUUAGCAAUAAACAAGUUAUAAACAAGUUAUAAACGAGUCCCUUCUUUGGUAGUCCUAGUGUUUGCCUGUAUUCGUUGUAUUCGUUGCUUGUCUACUUUCUUUUGACUUUCUUUGCCUUUGCCUAAAAAGUAGUUGCCUGUUCCAGCUCUUGCAGAUGAUCCUAAUCCGUAUCCUGAUCCAGGUGCUCCAGAGAUCCAAUUGAAUUCUGAAUUUCCACUUGACAAUUAUAGGCGAGGUCGGCGAAAGACAAACGUGGAGGUAAGGCAAGCUGACAAGUAUAUACUAGACAAGAGCGAGCUACAGGGUUGGCUAAGAGCUACCAAGCUACUCAAUUUCCCACUCCAGUUACUGUUCUUAUUGAAGUUGCAAGUCCUGUUAAAUGCCCGCUCUGGUAUUCUGACUUUUGAGUGGAAGUAUCAAGAUGGGUUAGUACUUACUUGGUCCGGAGCAUUAAGUUGAAGGUCAAGGAAGAAUCAAUUCCAUGCUUUGAAGCGGGAAAGAGAGAAUAGUUGGAAGUUGCCAGAGCUCGAGUNNNNNNNNNNNNNNNNNNNNCGGGGUGAACACUUAUUAUAGGUGUCGGGUUUCCAAGGGAAGCAGCAUACUUAUUAAUAAUAGGGCAGAAGGAGACAGCGCUAAUAGAGCUACACAGAAAGCAGGAUGGCUUGAACCCCCGCUUUCGGGGAUAUAUAUAUAUGGAUUCUUUCUUUAUAUGGUCAAAGGUGACCCUACCCUCAUCAACGAUCUGAAGGUAAGUAGCUGAAAGAUGAGCAAUUGGACUCAAGGGUGUGCAAAGCCUGUUGCUCGAAAAGGGGAUACGCGCUUGGUAGACGAAGCCCCCAGCCGAGGGAGAAUUCUGUCUCCACUGCAUCUUGACUUCGGUGCCUAAACAACAAGAGCACGGAAGACAGCUUUGUCCACAACUAACGUUUGCGCGUUAGCGAGUUCUGUGUUGUGCGUUAGGGUGAAUGUAGUAUAUAACUUAGUAAUAUUCCCUCAAUAAGUUGUUCUAUACGUGUUUGAAUGAUUUUGUUCAAUUCCAUUCUUUUCUUCAUGAAAGUGUCGAGCAAUCUUCCCUUCUAUGAUGACAUUGUAGCCCAGAACCCGACGCCUAACAUCUCAUAAGGCGCACGCACCCUAUAUAGUGAUAGCAAUAGGUAGUGUUGUGUAAGAAAGGAGCUUCUUGGCUUACGAAUCCGUUUUCUAUACAUGAGGCAGACGUUAUCCAAUGAAUGUUCAAUCUUACAAUAGGUAGAAACCCUCCAUCCCUUCACCCGCUACUAUAAUGACUGAGCCCGCUACUAUAAUUACUGAGCCCUUAUGAGAUACUCUCUUAUUUACAUAUAAUGACUGAGCCCUUAUGAGAGGAGAGACUUCUCUUAUUGACAACCGAAUCAAUUCAUUGUAAGUUUCAUUGAGCCUUUUCUAUCUUACUUAUUGAAGAGGCCUAAACUACUCGUUGGAGGAGACCGUAAGAAAGGACUCUCGGACGGGAAGCGGAAGAUGUUUAUUACGAGCCUAUAAUUAUACGUUUGUAUUAUGCAUCUCUAUUCUUAUUAAUUGCAGUCUUUCAUCAUAUAGUAGAUAUCAGAGACCUAAUACGGAACUAAUGGACUUACCCUAAUCAAUCUGUAUUCUGAAUUCAUCAUAGAAUGAGCUCUUCCUGUCUUUCCUACUCAUAGGCGCUUGUCCUCCCAACUAAUUUAUGGGCCUUUACUCAACUGGAUACUAAUAAGAGAUGGCCAGAGAGGAAGAUUGCCAAGGCCGACUGCAAGAGCACGCAGAACUAAUAUCGAUUCUGGUCUUCUUAACUUCCGAGCCGAGGGAGCUAUCGGUUUGGCUUGCUUACGAUAGGGCUUAUUCUUUAUAGUAAGGAAGGGAGUUAGGAAAUAGGUUCGUUCUUUGACUGUUGAGUUGAAUCGCUAGUCCGCUGUUAAAGUCAAGUAUAAUCGGUACGAGUGUCAAUCCUAGGAGCAGUAGCUACGGAAUGAUAAACAGUCGUUUUCGAAUUAGAGAAAGGUUUGUAAGGCUUGGGUUGCUGGUUGAGUGCAUUAUUCUUGUAUUGAUAUUCCUUGUUUAGAGGUUAAGCCCUAUACUAUGGAUACAGAGUGCAAUUCCUACUUAUGAGUUAUCUUACUAGCAGAGAGAACCAGAGAAAGGGUGCAAGCAAAGAAGGACAGACUAACAGAUAGGCUAGUUCAGAUCCGAAUCAGUGUUUCAAUAAAGUAGGGAGCGGGAGGCUAACAAGUCACCCAGGCAAGUAAGGCAUGGAGCUUAGGUGAGUUUUCUUGUAUGGGGAGGUAGGCUCGGGACACUAUGGGCAAUAGCUUGUCUCUUGGGGAGCGUUAUAGGUCGGUUGUGCCAGUUUCAUAUGCCCUAGUCCAUUUCUUGUCAGCAGUUCGUUCGAUUGGGAUAUUGCUAGUAGUAAGACCAAUGGGCAGUAUUAUCAUACUCAUAAAAGGGUGUAAAACUCCUGCAGCAUAACAUUACCUUCACUGACUUACGCUUUAACUCACUACCGCGACACCAAGCAAAUCACUCAUUUAGAACAAAUACAUAUAUAUAUAUUGUUGUUUGUCUUAUUACAUACAGUUGUUGUUUAGUGUCUUGGUGGUUAAACAGCACUGACAUUUCACUCACUACCGACAAGCUCAACAGGAAUAAUAACUAAUACAUAUAUAUAUUAUGUGAGUUCCGUAUUAGAGUUGUAGUUGGAGCAGAAAACAACACUGACGCUUUAACUGCACUGACACCGAAAGCAAGGCAUGAAUAGAAGGCCAGCUACUAAUCCUAGGACAUAAGAGAAUAGGGCACUGGCAUAGGCAUCUAGAAUAGUCGUCAAUAUAAUAGUUGUAUUGGUUAGUGUUAGGUAGUGUUUUUACUAUACUUAAUGGACAAAUUGGAUAGCUCAAUUCUCUUCUUUCAGCUCGAGUCCUAUAAUUCGAAUAACCAAAUAAGGCAUUGCUUUCCUUCCUCCAAAGCUCAUGGGCGCCUAAUGCACUUUGACUUUAUACCCUAGCUUCUGAUGCUGACUCAUUGCUUGUUCUUGUUCCUCUUGUUCUUACACCGCUACUUGUUGAAUAAAAUAUGCACAUCAACUAAAAUCAGAAAGGGUAAGUUGACUCCUUGACUCCUUUGCGGGCUAUAGGAAGGGUAGCACAGUCUUGCUUGGUUGUAUUGGGAUAGACAUAACCUUUUCUCUUACAGCAGGAGCAUACCCAGCUAGUCAACGAUUAGCAGCUUCAAAUCUAACAACCGUGUGUGAGCACCCUCGAAAGAAAGAUCGAAUUGAACUCACUGCCUAACAAUAUAAAUGAGAAAAGAAUGAUACUUUUAUACAUGAGGUAACCUUACUUCUUUGCUUACUCUACUACUAGUUUGCUUGUAGCUCCGUUAGCUAGUGCCUAAGCGUAAGCGCCCAGCCCUUUUACUUGGCUUGAUCUUAGUAGUAGAGCUGUUAACUCCUUACUUCAAGUUGACAGUUCAAUUGAUCCGCGCGUCAAGAGAAAUAUUGCAUAAUUAUUGGACUUUUAGAAAUAUUGCAUAAUUAUUGGACUUUGAAGCAAGGUGAAUUGGAGAAUAGCCAGUUCUGUUCAAGUUUCAUCGUGAAGAGAAGAAGAUCAGACUGCCCUCACUCGACUUAGAGCUAGAAAUAAAGGACUUGGUAAUAACAACCCUGAACUGGCCAUUCUGUAGCUGACGACUUCACCGUUCAAUCCUCUCCUCGCUUUCCACUUCUCCUUUCUACUCUAACUACGGAUUCUACUGAUCUUGUUUCCUCACCUGAUCUUUAUUAUUCUUUUUCCUUGAACGAUACUUGAAUUGCAGCAUACAAGCGGUACUCUGACUUUGGAUACUGAACUGCUCCGGGGGGCUAAUCUACUUAUUGCCUUAAGCGCUGCUUAGGAACGUUGCUUGUUAGCUUGUUUAUUCCCUCUUGAAUGAAAUACUGAGGGUCGCCCUAGAAGUGAAAGUUGUAACCCAUCGUGGCCACUACUUAAGUACCAAACCUUUAAGCGAUGGGGCCAAGGUUAAGAUAGUCUGCCCUAUAAGUGGUGAGUGACUGAAGCCGAAGAAGAAUCCCCAUCUGCUGUAAGAGGUAUAAGGGAUAAUCAUUCUAUACCAAGUUAUCGAGUGGAGGUCUGGGAAUCUAAUAAUACCGGUACUUUUUCUAGUGCUUGUGUCUAUAAGUAAUAAAGUAACGUUUGAGCAAGGAUCUCUAUAGAUCCAUCGAAGGUGAAAGAGAAAACGGGCCUAAUAAAGCUUAGUCAAACCAUACAUUGGGCGAGUUUUCUACUAGAAAGGUGACUCUGCUAGCCAAACUAUACGGAUUAUAAGACCAAAUCAAUUUCUCUUUCUGGUGGGCGAAGGAAGACCUUACUUCCAGAGUGAAAGUCAAGUUCCUACAAAGGCAGAUUCAUUAGUUCGAUUUAUUAUGAUUAUUCCAGAAUGGUUGACCCUGUUGGGAGUGGACGAAUAGAUUUGUUGGGAGUGGACGAAUAGAUCCCUGCUUCGUAACUGUGUGAGCCCUGGGAUUACUAUCCUUUUGGACCUCCUAAAACUACGUCGUUAAGAGGAUGCUUCUACUUGAGUUAGCUUGUACCCUGAUUGAUGCGGUCUCGCCGGGCAUUGAAUUGGCACAAGUUACCCGUUAGAUCUACCAUCUCCUGCUUUUCAAGUGAAUUGAACCGUUAGGGGAAUGUUAGAUAGACGUGAAUUACUUAAGGCAGGAUCCGCCCUGAAAACAGAUGUUCCAGAAGAAACGACCCUUGAAAUAUGAAAUAAAGAUGCGGAGCGAUGAAUGACUUUCUGCAGCAAGAUGAGGAGCGGUAGGGUAUUUCCCUUUGGCUUUUGCUCUUCCUUUUCAUUGCUUUACCUAAAUAAGGUGAAGACGGGGUUGGGUUCUUGUCUAGGUUAUGAUCGCCGAAUCCGAUGCUCCAUGACGUUUUCGUUCAAGUCCAGUUAGAGGUAAGCUUCUGAAUGCCUUAGCAGCAAUAGGGUCAUUUUGAAUGCCUUAGCAGCAAUAGGGUAAGCUUCUGAAUGCCUUAGCAGCCGUAGCUCUGUCUUUAAAGGUAGUUUCCGUUUUAGAGCUAUGCUUUGUAAGGCCUAUGUUUUAGGGCACAGUGUUUUAAGUUAGCAAUAAUCGAAUUCGCUUUAAGGAGCCAGGGUUAGCGCCCCUGGGAAGUCCGGCCUAUAGACAGUAGAUAAGGGCUAAGAGCGGGUAAAGCGAGGGUCGAGGUCAGGAUCGGAAGAGCCAUACUCAAUUGUUAGGUCAGUAGCGGAAGGAUGAAAUGCGCGGGCAAGGCUAUGGGGGUGAACUCAGUGCCUUUCUUUCCGGUAGUGGUUAAAGGUCUUGUUAGCACUAGGUGUAUUAUGUAUUCCUGUGUGUUUUGAUCGGAAAUAGAUCAUGUAAUGCGCCUAAGAGAGCUUAUAAUGCAUUUAAAGCCUACACCUGAACACCUUAAGCCUAGAGCAGCGCACCAACAACUAAGAGAAUGAAAGUCCGGGUAAACGAGAAAUAAGACCUGUGCUUCAAUAUUAGUUGACCCUGGUCGACUCGAAACGAAAGAAGUUGUGGGUUCUGAAGCGCUAAGUAGAUUAGCCAUAGGAAGGUGAAGAAAUAGGUCUGUAUCCUCUCAAUCAGGCGAGAAAGCUGGGUGCCCCCAUCUUCUUUGACUUUUCCGGGCUAGAGAAGUUCGGCACUUUGAGUAUAAUUAUGGUAGUGUAGCAGGUGCAUUCCUUAAAUAUAGUGGUGUCAGUUCAAUCUAAUUCCGGGCUAAUGGGAGUUGUUGAAAUGACAGGUUGCGAGAUCUCCAUUCCAAAAGUGAUAGGCGGGUGAACGAAGGACGGAAUCAGGCUUUGAAGCGCUAAGGUACGAUUGAUAAUGUACUUAUUCCGCUUUUGCGUUAGGAUAGUUCGAAUCGAGUCACUCUGUUCAACUAAUCUUAUUGCCAAUCUUUGAACGAAGAAAUAGUCCGGAUUAUGUUAUGCAUUUGAACCUAACCUAUCCUAACCUAUUCUAAUGGACUUGCUCUUGAAAAACUCCCCUUAGCUGUAGUCUUGCGCCGGCAAACUCUCUUACGCCCGGCUUGGCUUCCCUUUUGCUUGAAAACAUAGUGAUUAACGGCUUACUCACAAACAAACUCUCUCACUAACUUGUGCUUGCUCUUGCGAAUUCCCUAACGCCGAUACGAAGACUGGAACUUUACCACUUGUUUGCGCUCUUCCUAAUACGGAGAUUAGAUUCUUUCCCGCCCUGCCCUACUGUUGUUACUUAUCUUGCAUUAACCUAGCACGAGAUACUCCACUUAUCUUGCAUUGACCUAGCAUGAGACAAAAAACAAGCUUCUUUCUGCGUUAACGAGAUACUUUACUUUAGCUUUAGACUAGACUUGGAGCGCAACUCGAGUUGUUGGGCCAGUGUUCAGAGUCAACCUUAAUAGAAUCUCUCUUGCAUAAUCUAGAAAAUGGUAAGCCUAAUACACUGCAUUGCUUUCUUUGCCUAGACUAUGAAAGUCACCAAACACUAGAGAAACAAACUUAUUAACUGCUUUUUGACUCUUGAAGAACGAAUUGAGUUGACCCCGGCCUUAAUAGUAAUUAGCUAAUGCACUUGGUAUAGAAAUGGAGAAAGAUAAAGCAUCUAUUGAAACAGCUUCUAAAUAGGAUGAAACUGAACAAGCAAUGGAAUCCGCAGAACAUACAAGGACGGGACUUCGAACAAAUAACUGCGAUAAGAAUUCAUUGAGUACAGGAGCCUUGCGUUCGGAUGCCUAUAUUCUUAAAGCACCUUAGUUGGGGUGCCAAUUCUUUCCUUUCGCCCUUCUGCUUACGUGAGUUAGUUUCAGUAAAAGGUUCACUCCUUUCUAUCAGAUCCGAGAUGGAUUCCUUUCGAAAGCCCUUGUACGUGUCGUGCCUUACCUUAGGAAUUGAGUUAGCUUGAGCGUUGUAAGUAAUAAUAAUAAGUGUCUCGUUUUGAGUUUAGAGUGAAGUUACUAAAUUCCAGAAUAAGUAUAUUCGAAAAGCAUAGAGUUUCUAGUGUUGUUACUAAAUUCCAUAAGUGGUGCAGCAGUGCACUCGCAAGCACUUUCCUUUCUUUGUAGCAUAGUCGACUCGGGUGAGCUUUGGAGGAAGGGAAGCAACCAAAUAAUCUCGAAACUUGUAAUCUAAACAAGCAAGGGCGCUAAGAGAGUGAAGUGCAAAGUAUACUCGAUCUGAAGCAACAGUACAGUAAUCUAUAUCCUGAGUAGGAAGAAAUAGGGAUUAGAAGCGGGAAAAUGAGUAAGAGAUAAGAAUAAGGGCGAGGUUAUAUAGAACUAAGUAGUAAAGAGGAGAGGGAUAGUUUNNNNNNNNNNNNNNNNNNNNNNNNNNNNNNNNNNNNNNNNNNNNNNNNNNNNNNNNNNNNNNNNNNNNNNNNNNNNNNNNNNNNNNNNACAGAGGGGUCUCAUAAGAAAGGUUGAGUAGUGGUAUAAUCAGAAAGGUUUCGUAGUGACUUUAGAGUGGAAUUCGCAGAUAUAUAAGUGGCACUAGCUUAAGGAGCUAUUGUAUGUUAUAACCGUCUGACUUUAGUCUUAUAGCUCAAGACGGCUUCUCGUGAUUGACUCUAACUUUCCCUGGGUUCUGCCUUAAAGUAUAGAGAGGGGGAAGGCCAUAAAGGCGAAGCAGCUCCAAAAUGGUGUAUGCUUUAGAGUCGUUCUUUUGAGCUCGCGAGUAUAGUAAGGAAGAAUGGAUCUUCCUGUACCCUCAAUAACAGUAAAGAAAAGAGGUCUGCAAGGUCAGCUGUGGAAUCAGUAAUAGUUAGUUGGCAGACAAGAUCUUACUUAGUUGACAGAGGAGUGGGGAGUCGACUUAACACCGUAAGAAUAGAGAAACAAAGAAGAAACAAAGAGAGAUUUGAGUUCCAUUGACUCAUUACUUGAAGAACGAAUUGAUGUAGCCGAACCCCACUGGACAAAGGCAGAGGAAACACAAGCACCCGAGCCCACAUCUAUUACAUCACACCCCUCCUAUUGAUAAAUAAGGAUCUCCUAUUGAGAAAUAAGGAUGGAAUUGACACCCCCACCCUAGUAACUUCCUUCAACUACUACCCUAUAGCCUAGUAACUUCAUUCAACCAGCAUACCCUACCUGCCAAGACACUAGUAACCAGACCACUACUGGAUAAGGCUUAAGAUCCAAACAAGAAACUCAGAAUAGAAUGGAAUUGGCACUGAUAAGAAUUAGACUAGUAAGUAGAAGAGACUAGCUCCUACUACUGAUUCCACUACUCUAACAGCUCACUUUGGCACUUAUUAUUCUCUUGAAACUCAUUCUACUAGUCGUUGCUUGGUCUAACUAUGUUGUUUGCCCAGGAGCUUCAGAUCGAAUGGAUUCUGACCUUUCUACUCUUCCUUGGUACUAUUCCGCAACACUCGCACCGACGUCAAGCACCGCUACUGAGUCUUGCUCCGGCAAACUCAACAGAAGAAGCAUAUCUCUCAACUUUCCAUUAGGGUGGAAUCCGGCUAGAAUCCCAGUUUUCUUCUUUCCUAACUUGUAGCUGAGGUAGCUAAGUAUACUAAUGCGUGGAAUUGGUAAUAGUCAAAAGUCGAGGAAGAAGAAUCCGUGUUUGCUACUCUUGAAGCAGAGGUUAAGUCGAACCCACUAAGUAGGUCAAACUGACUGGUUAUAGGCUAUUGUAAAUUCAAUCUUCUAAUGAGAAAGAUCUAAUUUGAUAGGGAAUGUUCUUAUUGGAAAACAGCUCCGGCCAAACAACAACUCACUCUCCGGGCCGAGCAACUAUUCUUGAAGGAGAUAGUUUACUUCAAACUUUAGGAAUUGCCGGAGGAGAGGCUGACGCGCAACUGACGUAGUUGCUUGUCCUGAUGAGAACAAAGAGCUGUUGAAAACAUUCCAUUGAAACAAGGGGUUAAAAGACAGAUGAAACUCUCACAAGAAAAUGUAGUCUUUAUUUAGAAAAACGAUCUUUUCAUUGCUGCUGACCCGGCCCGGUCUUGUAUAACUUAAUUGUUUGUGGUUUCCUACUGAAGUAGUUCCUUGUCGGUGUUCCAGCCUAAACCUAUCAAUCUGGUAUUGCAGUUCAAAAGUGAGCAUCAAGCGGGUAAUCCUAAAGUGUAGUUCAAGGGGAGUUUGGAAAUGGAAGUAGAGUGAAAGGGGAAGAAUCAAGGGAAGCUCCUAGGUUAGGUAGAGCAGGAGCAGUUGAGUAAGCUGGAUCAUCAGCCGUCCUUACAACCGCUAUACAUUUCUACGUGACUAGUUUGGGUUCAGGUGCAACUUACUAUUCUUUUCAACAAGUCGAGUGAUGUAGGAGAGUUCGGUGCUUUGCUGGAAAGCAGCUUAAGUAGGCAGUAGCUCCUUGUCGUAGGGGGCGUAGUACUCUUGCUCUAAGUCUACUAGAGAAGGAACUAGAUCAGUAUCAGUAUCCGGGGAGCAGGCCCAGACUCAGUAGCGUCAGCGUAAGGAGUGAGUGAUUCCUUAAGUCUUGUUUGUUUCUUUGUCUGCGGGAGAAGUUUCUUUGCUUUCCCUUUGCGCCCCCAGCUUAGCCUUGUUCCACUGAUUGUCCUGCUGUGGCUCAAAGUCGGUUAAGCGCUUAAUUAAGUAUCAAGUCAGCGGGGAGGAAAGAAGAUAGUAUGGAUGACGGGUCGGGUGCUUUUGUGUAGCAUUACAAUUUGAUUACUUCUGACUAUUUUAUUACUUAGAGAACAAAAAAGAAAGUGAAAGCGUUAUUGCCCUAACUUCUGAUGCACUAAGGUACUAAAGAAGGUACUACAUUAUUCCAAUAGAAUCAAUAGUGUAACCGGACUCUUGUGUAGCAGUUCAAAAGUGAGCAUAGGAAUGGGAGGUUCCUGUUCUUAGGAAGUAUCCAGUUGUUGAUAGAUGGAGGGGUAUUGUAUGUAUUUAGUAAUUACUAAGUUCCUAAGUUCGGUGAUUGGCUUAACCUUAACCGAGUAGAAUAGUUGUGGUACAAAGAAUGGAGUUGAGAGUGUCAUCCGCGUAAUAGCAAGUAAGUCUAAGUCACACACGCUAGAGUAGUCCAUUUUCCCUUGUGCGUUGAGUAAGCAGUAAUAGGUGAGCUUUGGAGGAAAGGAAGAAAGAGCUAGGUCUGAUAGAUCUUUGUAACCAAGGGCAGCAGUUCAGUAAGAAGGAGAGGCCAGGCCGGUAACUAACCUACAAAGGGAUGAGAUGGAAAGGUAUGGUUGCACAGGACUUGGUUUAUUACUUACUAUGUGUUUUAAGAAUCAAGUUAGAUGAGCAAGAUCAGAGGGAUAGGUAAGUCAACUCCAUUCUUAUUGUAUACCAACCUAUACUCUGGUAUGGAAUUGUCACCCACAACCACAAGACUCGUAAGAAAUACAUUCUCUAAUAAGUUAUUCCGGAGUCCUAAAGCCGACCUUCUCUUAUCUCUUAGCCUACCUCCCCUUUCCUCACUU